AGGGAACAAAUACUGAAUCGGCGAACGUCGCUGAUUCGGUCCCGAUUCGUUUCGCCCCUGUUCGGGGAAACGUUAGCGGGCGUUAAGCGGUGUUUCCCGGGCGCCCGACGUUUCAGUUUCAGAUCGCGGGUGCGCUGUGGCCGACAAGACCGGUCGCCGGCGCGGAGCGGCGCUGAGAACGGACGCUGGCGACCUCAGCAACGGGUCGGGAUCGGCCACAAGGAAUCCCUCUCUCAUGGA
RNAcentral lists this small RNA (240 nucleotides) under Caulobacter vibrioides NA1000. RNAcentral's name for it is "small non-coding RNA". The record is from RNAcentral. Lineage: Bacteria; Pseudomonadati; Pseudomonadota; Alphaproteobacteria; Caulobacterales; Caulobacteraceae.